Molecule: long non-coding RNA, 1450 nt
Filed under: Coturnix japonica (Japanese quail)
Lineage: Eukaryota; Metazoa; Chordata; Aves; Galliformes; Phasianidae
Description: lncRNA (ENSCJPG00005003328.1)
Source: RNAcentral
CUCAUCCAUCUGCUUCUGAGAAACUUCAAGACCACCAGGGGACUUGUUUGUCAAGGCUUGUUAAACAAUUUGUAAUCUUGAACAUGUGUUUCAGUAUAUUAACAAAUGAAUUGUUCAAAUUAACUUAGUGGGCAAGCCAGGAAAACCACAGUAAUCAAUCAAAUCCCGAGUCUGGGCAUCCAGGAACAGAAAUCUCCAAGAAAUAAUACAGCAAUAAAAUCAUAGCGAAGCUACGUGGGAGCCAAAUGAAUCCCGGAACGUUACAUAUAACCACGCAGCAAAGCGGGACUGUUGUUACGUAGUUAUGGUCCUCAUAGUGCGAAAUCACGUUGUGAUGUAUGUACCCUUAGCGGCGAAGAACCGCGGCAGACAGCCCCUAAUGCCUGCGCCUGUUCCUUUCUGAAUUGCUGGAAGGCUACUGCUGAGAUAAGCCUUUCUUUUGCUUUAGUCCCCUCUUCUCAGAUCUAAUUGUUAUCUCAGCAGUAAUCUUAUAUUAACUUCUGGGGAGCUGUUUGUGUUGAAGUCACGGCUAGCUUUAGUCCUAUCUAAUGGAUCUAUGGAAAAAAGAGGGAGAGGAAAGGAGAGAAAUGUAGUUUGAAGAUAGGAUACUACAUGUACCCUAUUGGAUUGGGUAAAAAUCAUGCAUUUGUUUUGUGGGAAGUACUGGCUCUUGUAUAUUUUUCCUCUUCCGGUGACGAUUCUCCAUCAUUUCUCUGGAAUGAAAACGUUGGGGGGAAAAGGAAAACCUGCUGUAUGAAAUGUCCAGUUUUCAAAAGUAGCCUUCUUGGUUACCCUGGGACAAUGAGGUAUACAUAUAUAUAUAUAUUUACUAAGUUCCUGCUACACCUACUGCUUAGACUUUCCCUUCUGUUACCUCUCUUGCUUUGCUCAAAACAAGAAUCAGAAUGGAUUUCUUGGAACCAAUCUGAAAAAAAAAUAAAAAGAAAGAAAAAAAGAACAGAAAGCCCAAGUCCCAGAAGGAGCAGUCAGGCAGAAAUGCUCCUGUCAAAGGGAAAUUACCGUAGAGGCAAGUAGAUAAUCAAUAGUAAUCAGGCUGGUGACUAAAAUACAGCAGUUUCCCUCAAGACUUGUGUUGUAUUCAUCUGCAGUGGGUCAGAGGCCAAGGCAGACAGAUUGCAACUGUGGUAAGCUUUUCAGAAAGGUCCAGGAAUGUGACAAAUUUGUAGUUUAUUAAUUGCUGGAACUUGUCACUAAGGCUGUGGUUGCUUACUGCAGUUUGCAGUCCAAGCAAAUGCAAGCAGGGGGGUUGCUCCUCCCUGUUUCACUGUGUCUGCAUUCCUGUUAUUGUCAGUUCAGGAAGCACAAAUGACAUCUGUCAGUUGUAUAUCCACAUGCAAGUUAUAUGGGGACUAGAUAUGGGGGAGGCAGUGAAAAGGAUUCUGGAAAGAACUGACAUAUAAAAUAAACUGAAGCAUAGAGGAUAAUUUCA